UCUCUUUGCUUGAUAUUCUUUUCUUUUUCUUCUUCCUGCUGAAUUUCUUCAAAAAAUUAAGAACAUCAAGCACCUGUUUUCAUAUAUCAAUUAUAAGAACUUUAAUCUCCAAUUUCUUGAAGAUUUCAAUAAAGCACUUAAACUUCUUUUCUUUCCUAUGAUAUUUCUUUUGAUGAGGAAGAGGUUUUGCAUAUGAUCUUUUCUUCUUUCCUCUCUUCCUCUUUUUCUUAAUCUCCUCCCUCAACUUUCUCUUUUUCUCUUUUCUUAUUUUCUUCUUU
This 278-nucleotide long non-coding RNA is filed under the name Vigna radiata. RNAcentral describes it as "long non-coding RNA (VRAD_LNC015746)". Lineage: Eukaryota; Viridiplantae; Streptophyta; Magnoliopsida; Fabales; Fabaceae. The record is from RNAcentral.